Long non-coding RNA from Mytilus trossulus (common blue mussel), 839 nucleotides. RefSeq lists it as uncharacterized. The transcript has 2 exons. The record is from RefSeq and is a predicted model, not a curated record. NCBI's taxonomy places the organism in Eukaryota, Metazoa, Mollusca, Bivalvia, Mytilida, Mytilidae.
GACUAUUUCCUGUCGUGUUUUGUAAGAAAGCAGUGAUAACAAAGAAAACAAAAGAGAAAAUCGCAUCAUCUAAAGAGAAAGAAACAUUGGCAGUGAAAUAAUUUUUAUGAAGAUUUGCUACACUGGAUAAGAAUUAAACAAAAGACGGAUUCAGAAAAAGUGCCAAAUGAAAGUGUAGCAGAAAACAAAAGGAACACUCUUGUGAAUACAACCCAUGUUAGAUUACAAAACUAUGAAAUAGCUGUAUGAAUCUAAUAAAGUGAAAUUACAGAACUAGGAAGUAAGUGUAUGAACCUAAUGAAGUGAAAUUACAGAACUAGGAAAUAAUUGUAUGAACCGAAUGAAGUGAAAUUACAGAACUAGGAAAUAACUGUAUGAACCUAAUGAAGUGAAAUUACAGAACUAGGAAAUCACUGUAUGAACCUGAUGAAGUGAAAUUACAGAACUAGGAUAUAACUAUAUGAACCUAAUGAAGUGAAAUUACAGAACUAGGAAAUAAUUGUAUGAACCUAAUGAAGUGAAUUACAAAACUAGGAAAUAACUAUAUGAACCGAAUGAAGUGAAAUUACAGAACUAGGAAAUAAUUGUAUGAACCUGAUGAAGUGAAUAACCGAACUAGGAAGUAAUUGUAUGAACCUGAUGUCAGAAGUGAAUUACAGAACUAGGAAAUAACUGUAUGAACCUGAUGAAGUGAAUUACAUUUAUAGGAAUGAAACAUCAUGAAUAUACUUUAUAAUUUUCAUUCUAGAUCUGAUGUUGCAACGUGUAGUUACAUAAAAUUAAACUUUUAAGAAUUUGCUCCUUGUCUAGCUAAAAUAAAUUAUGUAUUGGUAUUCAUA